Colobus angolensis palliatus is the source of this 274-nucleotide unclassified non-coding RNA. It matches the Rfam family "Metazoan signal recognition particle RNA". Rfam says of the family: The signal recognition particle (SRP) is a universally conserved ribonucleoprotein. It is involved in the co-translational targeting of proteins to membranes. The record is from Ensembl. Lineage: Eukaryota; Metazoa; Chordata; Mammalia; Primates; Cercopithecidae.
GCUGGGUACAGUGGCACAUGCCUAAAGUCCCAGCUACUUGGGAGGAUGGCUUGAGCCCAGGAGUUCUGGGGUACAGUGUGCUCUGCUGACUGGGUGUCUGCACUAAGUUUAAUAUCAGUAUGGUGACCUCUUGGGAGUGAGGGACCACCAGGUUGCCUAAAGAGGGGUGAACUGGCCCAGGUCGAAAACAGAGCAGGUAAAAACUCCUAUGUUGAUCAGUAGUGGGAUCCUGCUUGUGAAUAGCCACUGCACUCCAGCUUAGGCAAGUGCAAUA